RNAcentral lists this ribosomal RNA (468 nucleotides) under uncultured bacterium. RNAcentral's name for it is "partial 16S ribosomal RNA". It matches the Rfam family "Bacterial small subunit ribosomal RNA", at positions 28 to 507 of the family's 1533-position model. The record is from RNAcentral.
GACGAACGCUGGCGGCGUGCUUAACACAUGCAAGUCGAACGGAAAGGCCCUGCUUUUGUGGGGUGCUCGAGUGGCGAACGGGUGAGUAACACGUGAGUAACCUUCCCUUGACUUUGGGAUAACUUCAGGAAACUGGGGCUAAUACCGGAUAUGAGCUCCUGCUCCUUGGUGGGGGUUGGAAAUUUUCGGCGGUUGGGGAUGGACUCGCGGCUUAUCAGCUUGUUGGUGGGGUAGUGGCUUACCAAGGCUUUGACGGGUAGCCGGCCUGAGAGGGUGACCGGCCACAUUGGGACUGAGAGACGGCCCAGACUCAUACGGGAGGCAGCAGUGGGGAAUAUUGCACAAUGGGCGGAAGCCUGAUGCAGCAACGACGCGUGCGGGAUGACGGCCUUCGGGUUGUAAACCGCUUUCGCCUGUGACGAAGCGUGAGUGACGGUAAUGAGUAAAGAAGCACCGGCUAACUACGUG